GAUGAACGCUGGCGGCGUGCCUAAUACAUGCAAGUCGAACGCAUAGCGAAAGGUGCUUGCACCUUUCAAGUGAGUGGCGAACGGGUGAGUAACACGUGGACAACCUGCCUCAAGGCUGGGGAUAACAUUUGGAAACAGAUGCUAAUACCGAAUAAAACUUAGUGUCGCAUGACACAAAGUUAAAAGGCGCUUCGGCGUCGCCUAGAGAUGGAUCCGCGGUGCAUUAGUUAGUUGGUGGGGUAAAGGCCUACCAAGACAAUGAUGCAUAGCCGAGUUGAGAGACUGAUCGGCCACAUUGGGACUGAGACACGGCCCAAACUCCUACGGGAGGCUGCAGUAGGGAAUCUUCCACAAUGGGCGAAAGCCUGAUGGAGCAACGCCGCGUGUGUGAUGAAGGCUUUCGGGUCGUAAAGCACUGUUGUAUGGGAAGAACAGCUAGAAUAGGAAAUGAUUUUAGUUUGACGGUACCAUACCAGAAAGGGACGGCUAAAUACGUG
This 497-nucleotide ribosomal RNA is filed under the name uncultured bacterium. RNAcentral's name for it is "partial 16S ribosomal RNA". It matches the Rfam family "Bacterial small subunit ribosomal RNA", at positions 28 to 507 of the family's 1533-position model. The record is from RNAcentral.